GCCAACCUCCCCUUCUUUUUGAGAAAACCUCUUUCCUUUUUUUUAUACUCAGCCAACUCUAUGGCAUCCACCCGAACAUACAAUUCACGCGCCUCAGAAUACUGCGUAGUGUCCAUUAAUUGCCCGUACCAGGUCAAGCACCCUAUUCCUUUCCUUUCUAUAUCUAAGAUUGCAAACGCUUUGCAGGAACAAUUAUUCAAGCACAGUUGCUCACACUCUGUACUACUCAAACUUGUGUUCAUCAAAGCAGCUAUUGAAGUAUCAGGAACCUUCAAAUGCUCGACCUUAACAAACCCUUCUCCAUUUCUGCACAUUGACAUCGUUUGCUCUCGCUUCCUCACACACCCAGCAGAGCCAUCUCUGAGAUACCAAUUCUUUAUGGNUGGGCUCAUACCCUGGCAGGCACAUGCAGUCUAGACUAUCAAAAUUGUUGGCGUUCAAUAUACUGUAUCCACCACAAUGUCCGUAGAUGUACUUAGGAUCUGAACGGGAUACCCUCCACUGAUAGGAACUAUUAUCCCAAGUAAGCCGCUGGACCAAUCCAGAGUUGUUAACCACAUUUCUUGUGGGAAUAGAUUCAUCAACCUCUGAAUGGAAAGAGUAGUAUAUCUCAUCUUGAUUGUUAGUAGAAGUAGAUGAGAUGAAUAACCGGGCACUGGUGUAGGUCCCCAGGGCCAUGGGGGGCUUCUCCAAUAUGGGAUUAAACCGUUGUACAAAAAGAACUGGGGACAGCCACUGGGGUUGAGUCUGUACAACCAGUCCCCUUUUCCUGGAUCAUCCGCUGAUCUCCAUGACGUUAAGGACCGUUCUAGGCCAAUUCUCCUGUCCAACCCAAGUUUCAUACCUGGAAGCAUGGUAUCUGUGGGAUAGUCGAAGCUUUGCCAAAAAAUUCUUUUGCUUUCAUCAUUUGGGACCAAAACCAGAUUUCCCGAAUCUAGGAGACGAGCCACACAAUCCACUGUUCCUUCCAUUGAAACAUUAGUGGACCAGAAAGGAAGUCCUCUGUCAUGAUUGUUAUAGAGCUCAAGGUUUCCAUCUGGGGCUAGGAAAAGGACUCCUGAAGUGUCAUUAAUGGGAUUGUUCCUGUUCGCAACCCACACCACAGUUUGUUCUGGUAGUUUGUGAUACCAAAUGCCAAGAUAUUUAUAUUUAGAGUUGCCAGGACUGAAAAAUCCCAGUGCAAAAAUUUCUUUUCUGGACAGUAGAAGGUUGCUGCCUGUGAUGGAUUGAUUUAAGGUUAUGGCAGAAAUGGAAAGACAAGAUGGGAAGAGGAGGACUAGAAGCAAGGAGUUGAGAAGAACUUCUACACUAUCCAUGGUUGAGACUUUU
This 1329-nucleotide unclassified non-coding RNA is filed under the name Hevea brasiliensis (rubber tree). The record is from RNAcentral. Lineage: Eukaryota; Viridiplantae; Streptophyta; Magnoliopsida; Malpighiales; Euphorbiaceae.